CACGUAGGCACCAAGCGUUGUCCGGAUUUAUUGGGCGUAAAGAGCUCGUAGGCGGUUCGGUAAGUCGGGUGUGAAAACUUUGGGCUCAACCCAAAGCCUGCACUCGAUACUGCUGUGACUUGAGUCCGGUAGAGGAGUGGGGAAUUCCUGGUGUAGCGGUGGAAUGCGCAGAUAUCAGGAGGAACACCGGUGGCGAAGGCGCCACUCUGGGCCGGUACUGACGCUGAGGAGCGAAAGCGUGGGGAGCGAACAGG
This 254-nucleotide ribosomal RNA is filed under the name uncultured bacterium. Its description in RNAcentral is "partial 16S ribosomal RNA". It matches the Rfam family "Bacterial small subunit ribosomal RNA", at positions 524 to 776 of the family's 1533-position model. The record is from RNAcentral.